AGCUUGACACUGAACAUUGAGCCUUGAUGUGUAGGAUAGGUGGGAGGCUUUGAAGUGUGGACGCCAGUCUGCAUGGAGCCGACCUUGAAAUACCACCCUUUAAUGUUUGAUGUUCUAACGUUGGCCCGUUAUCCGGGUUGCGGACAGUGUCUGGUGGGUAGUUUGACUGGGGCGGUCUCCUCCUAAAGAGUAACGGAGGAGCACGAAGGUUGGCUAAUCCUGGUCGGACAUCAGGAGGUUAGUGCAAUGGCAUAAGC
This 257-nucleotide ribosomal RNA is filed under the name Escherichia coli. Its description in RNAcentral is "partial 23S ribosomal RNA". It matches the Rfam family "Bacterial large subunit ribosomal RNA", at positions 2108 to 2364 of the family's 2925-position model. Lineage: Bacteria; Pseudomonadati; Pseudomonadota; Gammaproteobacteria; Enterobacterales; Enterobacteriaceae. The record is from RNAcentral.